AUCAUCCUCAGCAUUGUUAUAAAAGCUUUCCUCAUCCUGAUGUUGGCUGAGCCAGUAAUCCCUGUACCAUGUUGAAGUGGUAACCAGUUGCCACCAUUCUGGGGAGAAAUCCUCCACUUGACGAUAGGCAGCAGGGAUAAAGAGAGGGGCAUCAGGGUUUAAUGUCGACCUUCCUCCUGAAACUAGUGCCAUCUGUCUCAAUCGAGUCUUGUUUUAUCUUUUCAAUCUUGAAGCUUUAGCGAAGAAACUAUGCAGGCUCGUCUUGCUGUU
This 270-nucleotide unclassified non-coding RNA is filed under the name Hevea brasiliensis (rubber tree). The record is from RNAcentral. Lineage: Eukaryota; Viridiplantae; Streptophyta; Magnoliopsida; Malpighiales; Euphorbiaceae.